Long non-coding RNA from Lepidothrix coronata (blue-crowned manakin), 3141 nucleotides. RefSeq lists it as uncharacterized. NCBI's taxonomy places the organism in Eukaryota, Metazoa, Chordata, Aves, Passeriformes, Pipridae. The transcript has 5 exons. The record is from RefSeq and is a predicted model, not a curated record.
GUCAGGGUACAGCAGGAUAAAUUUGGUAUCUCACUAAACCAUAGAGAGGAGUUGAAUACUUGCAGGUCCACAGUGAAGACAGACCUCUGUCCAUCUUGUGGAGAAUGUUUUCGUUCCCAGGAGUCUGGCUUGAAGAUGGUUCUGCUGUUGUAUGUGCAAGAGUUUGUGCUGAGAAGAGGCAGCUGGGACAAGGCUCUGCCCAGCUCCUUGUGCAGUGUCUGCAUGAUGAGGCAGUGGGUGUGCACAGAGGAUUUCAAGCUUCCCACGCCCAGAAACUUGUUCUUCAUCCAGCUCCAGGAAUGUUGAGAGUCCUAAAUUUACUCAGGAGAUCUGUAAGGGAGCCCUUGUAGCUCCUCCUGUGUGUCUGAAGCGUGGGCUGGUUGUUUUUGAAGCAAUAGAAUGUGACAGUCAGAAGCCAGUUAAAAACAAGGGAUUUCAAUACCUGAGCUCAUGUUCCAAGGACUGCAGGCUGAUUAGCUCCUCUUGUCUCCUGGAUCCAAUUACUCACCUGUAAGUAAAGCAUUUCUGAGUCCCCCAAACAGGUUCUGAUAUUAUCAGCGGAUUUAGGCAACUCCAAAUCCUCCCAGUAAUCUGAAGAAGUGGGUUUUCUGUCUUCACCCAGGAGGCAGAUAAAACCUCACCCUCGGUAUGUGCAGUAACACAAAUGUGUGUCACAUCUGCUUUCCUUUUAUAUCUUCUUAUUCUAGUUGACAACAAGAGUCAGAUGUACCAGAUAUGCUUAAUCUGGAAAAGAGUGUCAGCACUAUCAAUUUUUUCUCUGCUUUCAUAUUUCUUGCCCUUUUAAUACUCAAAGCUGCUGAUCUCACUUCUCCUGGCCAUCCUUCUUUUUCCCAUUUCUGUUUCUUUGACUUUAGGCAACUCACUGUGUAUAAACUUGGUUCUUCCAGGAGGAAAAGAAACUACAAUAAUAAAUGAAGCCUGGUAGAUUUUGUGAAGGUGGAAAUAAUGUUGCAGAGGACACGGUGUUUGUGACUGUUGGUACUUCGUGAGGAGCUGCAGGGGACAGAAUAGGCAGGAUGACUUCCAGGACCUGGACACAGGACUGGAAGGAAUGCUGAGUUUGCUGAUAACACUGAAUUGGGAAGAGCUGUUGAUUCCCUGGAGGGCAGAGAGGCCCUGCAGAGAGACCUCAACAAACCAGAGAGAUGAGCCAUCACCAAGUGUUCUCCAGGAGCUCCUGCACGUGCAGCUGAUGUCACCUGACAGCCAAAGCAAACCCUGCACUGGGUGUUUGUUACCCAGAGGGGAGUAAUGGGGUUCAAACACAAACUGCAGGGGUCAGCUGGUUGUGUUGUUGAGCUCAUCAGACAACCACCCCCAUCACCUUCUGUCCAGAGAAGCUUCCCUGUGGCUGGUUGGUAAAUCGUGUGCAAACCUCUAGUGCCUGGUGGGAGGUGUCUGAGUGUCAGACCUGAACACAACUUGCUCCACUUGGCUGUGCUCCUCUAGAAAGUAUUUACAGAAGUUCACUCAAAAUAAAUUACAUUCUGAUCACUUCAAGUUAUUGUAAUUGAGAAGAUGGUCAGAGAAGGGCAGGUAGGAAAUUACCAGGAGCUUGGAGGAUUUGAUUAAUAAGGAAAAUCACUAGAAGGUGCAGAGAGUGAUGGAGGGAGAGAUGGAAUAUAAUCCACUAUAAAUAUUUGAAGAACAAUACUCAAGACAGAAGCAAAGUGAAACAGAGAGGUAUGAAAUAAAUGCAAGGGGGAGGCAGGUUCCUGACAGUGAGAUGUUUCAGGCUGUGUGUGCAGCACCUCAGAGGGACACAUGGCCAGUGGCACAUCUUAAAACUGAACCAAGGGGACAAGGAGUGACACCUCCAGCAGGCAACCCUUUGUGGGGAGGCAAGAGAUGAGGAGUGACUUAGCCAUUCCUGGCAGGAUGCAGCACUGAUAACAUGGCUUUGCUGUUUUGAAGUUGAGGCAUCAGGUGGGUGUGCAAAUGGGAACAAGAGAGUUGAGCAGUUUAGAACCCGUGGAAGGGAACAGCUGGAAACUGCCAAUCCUGAGAUUUCGGGAAAAGUACAGCUUCUGAUUUCAUCUUGAAUUAAAAAAAUGUGCUUUUGUGACAUAAAAUGGAUUUGGAAUUGUGUGUUAGCUGUGAGUGUGUGUUAGAACUGUCCCGGUUGCUCACAGUGCUGUGGCUGUCAGAGGUGUGUGAGAAGCCCCCAAACCACAUUGUAGGAGGAACCCCGUGCUCGCGGGGCUCAGGGUAGGACUGACAACCACUUGCUGACUGCUCAGCACACUUAAUGGAAAACACCUUUCUAAAGCCACUCAAACCACCUCAACCUGCAAACCAGGAGGAUUGCAACAGUUACCUGGCAGUGUGUGACUUCUCUUCGGGCUUCUCCACUCCUGGGUGGGGAAGGUCUCCAGCCAGCCAGGCUCCUGGAGAGCCACAUCUCUGCUCUUCCCUCCUUCAGCCACUUCCUCCGAGUUAAUUCCGUGCAAUCAGGCAACACAAAACGAAAUGGAGAAACUCAUGUCUGUGUGGUAUGUCUUUAUGUUAUAAUGAUUCUCAGUUGUCCAAAAUCCUCGGCAGGAGCACAUCCCAGUAGAUCUAUAGAACUGUCUCCAGGAUUUAGUAUAAAUUCAAUAUUGUCAGCAACAAAGAAUCACAGUGCUCUCAUUGUAUUUGACUUCUAGUGAAGCCAUUACUGGAGUCAUGUCUUUUAUUUAUAUUAACAUGUUGUUAACUGUAAGCUAAUAAAGAUGCAAAAUGCCUGAAAUCAAUUAGGUACAGAUUUAAGGAGUGUACAUAAAGGAAAUUUUCUGAUUUACUUUCCCGUUUGUUGAAUACAGACCUUGCAUUACUUUGAACAUGAAAGCAAUCAAUUGACUCUGUUUAAUUCCAUUAAUUAAUUUCUGCAAUCGUUUUCCUUGCCUCUUUACUUCAGUUUAAAAACACCUGGAUCCCAGUUAGAAAAUUCCCUGAAGUCGUAACAAUUUCAAAUUAGGAGGUUUAUUUAAAAAUAUCAUUUGGGCUCUAAGAGCUUAUUAGUUAAAAACUGUUCCAAGAUAAUCUUCAACUUCACAGAAGGAAUUAAUGUUUUUAAAAGUACUUUUGCUUCUGUUUUUCAUUAAUUUUUGUUUGCUUUUUUAUGAAUCUGUAACUUGAGAA